Molecule: ribosomal RNA, 253 nt
Filed under: uncultured bacterium
Lineage: Bacteria
Description: partial 16S ribosomal RNA
Rfam family: Bacterial small subunit ribosomal RNA
Source: RNAcentral
UACAGAGGUGGCAAGCGUUGUUCGGAAUUACUGGGCGUAAAGGGCGCGUAGGCGGCCAUCUAAGUCAGACGUGAAAUCCCCCGGCUUAACCUGGGAACUGCGUCUGAUACUGGACGGCUUGAGUAUGGGAGAGGGAUGUAGAAUUCCAGGUGUAGCGGUGAAAUGCGUAGAUAUCUGGAGGAAUACCGGUGGCGAAGGCGGCAUCCUGGACCAUUACUGACGCUGAGGCGCGAAAGCUAGGGGAGCGAACAGG